This 500-nucleotide ribosomal RNA is filed under the name uncultured Azospira sp. RNAcentral describes it as "bacterial SSU rRNA". It matches the Rfam family "Bacterial small subunit ribosomal RNA", at positions 400 to 891 of the family's 1533-position model. Lineage: Bacteria; Pseudomonadati; Pseudomonadota; Betaproteobacteria; Rhodocyclales; Rhodocyclaceae. The record is from RNAcentral.
CGUGUGUGAAGAAGGCCUGAGGGUUGUAAAGCACUUUCAAUGGGGAAGAAAUGGCAACGGCUAAUAUCCGUUGUUGAUGACGGUACCCGCAUAAGAAGCACCGGCUAACUACGUGCCAGCAGCCGCGGUAAUACGUAGGGUGCGAGCGUUAAUCGGAAUUACUGGGCGUAAAGCGUGCGCAGGCGGUUUCGUAAGACAGACGUGAAAUCCCCGGGCUCAACCUGGGAACUGCGUUUGUGACUGCGAGGCUAGAGUACGGCAGAGGGGGGUAGAAUUCCACGUGUAGCAGUGAAAUGCGUAGAGAUGUGGAGGAAUACCGAUGGCGAAGGCAGCCCCCUGGGUUAGUACUGACGCUCAUGCACGAAAGCGUGGGGAGCAAACAGGAUUAGAUACCCUGGUAGUCCACGCCCUAAACGAUGUCAACUAGGUGUUGGAAGGGUUAAACCUUUUAGUACCGCAGCUAACGCGUGAAGUUGACCGCCUGGGGAGUACGGCCGCAA